RNAcentral lists this ribosomal RNA (529 nucleotides) under uncultured bacterium. RNAcentral's name for it is "partial 16S ribosomal RNA". It matches the Rfam family "Bacterial small subunit ribosomal RNA", at positions 355 to 895 of the family's 1533-position model. The record is from RNAcentral.
UGGGGAAUAUUGCACAAUGGGCGAAAGCCUGAUGCAGCAACGCCGCGUGAGGGACGACGGCCUUCGGGUUGUAAACCUCUUUUAGCAAGGAAGAAGCGAAAGUGACGGUACUUGCAGAAAAAGCGCCGGCUAACUACGUGCCAGCAGCCGCGGUAAUACGUAGGGCGCAAGCGUUAUCCGGAAUUAUUGGGCGUAAAGAGCUCGUAGGCGGUUUGUCGCGUCUGCUGUGAAAACCCGAGGCUCAACCUCGGGCCUGCAGUGGGUACGGGCAGACUAGAGUGCGGUAGGGGAGAUUGGAACUCCUGGUGUAGCGGUGGAAUGCGCAGAUAUCAGGAAGAACACCGAUGGCGAAGGCAGAUCUCUGGGCCGUAACUGACGCUGAGGAGCGAAACGGGUGGGGAGCAAACAGGCUUAGAUACCCUGGUAGUCACCCCGUAAACGUUGGGAACUAGUUGUGGGUCCAUUCCACGGAUUCCGUGACGCAGCUAACGCAUUAAGUUCCCCGCCUGGGGAGUACGGCCGCAAGGCU